Molecule: long non-coding RNA, 816 nt
Filed under: Homo sapiens (human)
Lineage: Eukaryota; Metazoa; Chordata; Mammalia; Primates; Hominidae
Description: long intergenic non-protein coding RNA 1393
Source: RNAcentral
AAGCAAGCCUGGGCAAUGGCGGGUGCCCCUACCCCAGCCUCGCUGCCGCCUUGCAGGUUGAUCUCAGACUGCUGUGCUAGCAAUCAGCGGGACUCCGUGGGCGUAGGACCCUCCGAGCCAGGUGAUACGAAGCCUUCUGAAGAUUUGAAUCAAGGAAAUGAGGAGCCAUUGAAGAAUACUGUUGUCCUAUCCCAGAAGGAGCAAGCGGACAACACUGAUAUCCUGACCACUAACCAUCCAGCACCACUUAAAGUUUUAAAAAGAAUAACAGAAAGAAAGAAGUGGCUGAAACCUAAAUGCCAUAUGGAGAAGACAGCUAAUUGCCACACUCUCCUCUUUGGUCUUUCCUGGUACGCAGCAUACAAGCCCACAGAUUGAGGACUCUGCACUUGCUGUUCUCUCUGCCUGGAGCUCUAUGGCUCCAGAUAGACUCCUGCCAACUCCUUCGCCUUGUCCAAGUUACCUUCAUUAAAUGUCAGCUUAAAUGUGUGCCUACUUUUUGCCCUACCUAGAAUUGCAAGCACCUCUCACCACUGUGCUCCCAUUCUCCUUAACUUAAGCCACUUUUAUUCUCAUAAUAAAGCCACAUAUUUUUUCUUAUUAUAUCAUAAUCGUACUGUAUAAUUUAUAUUUUAUUACUUUUGUUUGUAUACUUAUUGUAUGUUUCUGUUCACAAGGAUGUAAACCCCAUGAACACAGAGAUCUUUGAUUGUUUUAUUCACUGAUUUAUGCCAAAUGUUUGGAACAAUGCCUGGCACAUAGUAGAUGUUUGAUAAUUUUUUUUUUUUCUGAAUGAAUAAAUACAUUUUAGCCAAA